Molecule: ribosomal RNA, 446 nt
Filed under: uncultured bacterium
Lineage: Bacteria
Description: bacterial SSU rRNA
Rfam family: Bacterial small subunit ribosomal RNA
Source: RNAcentral
GCCAGACUCCUACGGGAGGCAGCAGUGGGGAAUAUUGCACAAUGGGGGGAACCCUGAUGCAGCGACGCCGCGUGAGUGAAGAAGUAUUUCGGUAUGUAAAGCUCUGUCAGCAGGGAAGAAGAAAGACGGUACCUGACCAAGAAGCCCCGGCUAACUACGUGCCAGCAGCCGCGGUAAUACGUAGGGGGCAAGCGUUAUCCGGAUUUACUGGGUGUAAAGGGAGCGUAGACGGCCGUGCAAGCCAGGAGUGAAAGCCCGGGGCCCAACCCCGGGACUGCUCUUGGAACUGUGCGGCUGGAGUGCGGGAGGGGCAGGCGGAAUUCCUGGUGUAGCGGUGAAAUGCGUAGAUAUCAGGAGGAACACCGGCGGCGAAGGCGGCCUGCUGGACCGCGACUGACGUUGAGGCUCGAAAGCGUGGGGAGCGAACAGGAUUAGAUACCCCAGUA